This 443-nucleotide ribosomal RNA is filed under the name uncultured bacterium. RNAcentral describes it as "partial 16S ribosomal RNA". It matches the Rfam family "Bacterial small subunit ribosomal RNA", at positions 338 to 795 of the family's 1533-position model. The record is from RNAcentral.
CCUACGGGUGGCAGCAGUGGGGAAUAUUGGACAAUGGGGGGAACCCUGAUCCAGCGACGCCGCGUGAGUGAAGAAGUAUUUCGGUAUGUAAAGCUCUAUCAGCAGGGAAGAAAGUAAUGACGGUACCUGACUAAGAAGCCCCGGCUCACUACGUGCCAGCAGCCGCGGUAAUACGGAGGGGGCAAGCGUUAUCCGGAUUUACUGGGGGUAAAGGGAGCGUAGACGGUUACGCAAGUCUGGAGUGAAAGGCGGGGGCUCAACCCCCGGACUGCUCUGGAUACUGUAUAACUGGAGUGCAGGAGAGGUAAGUGGAAUUCCUAGGGUAGCGGUGAAAUGCGUAGAUAUUAGGAGGAACACCAGUGGCGAAGGCGGGUUACUGGACUGUAACUGACGUUGAGGCUCGAAAGCGUGGGGAGCAAACAGGAUUAGAUACCCGUGUAGUC